This 63-nucleotide transfer RNA is filed under the name Phloeotribus sp. BMNH 1047247. Its description in RNAcentral is "tRNA-Phe". Lineage: Eukaryota; Metazoa; Arthropoda; Insecta; Coleoptera; Curculionidae. The record is from RNAcentral.
AUCUAAAUAGCUUAUAAAGAGUAUAGUAUUGAAGAUACUAAGGAAAUAGAAUAUUUUUAGAUA